This 253-nucleotide ribosomal RNA is filed under the name uncultured bacterium. RNAcentral's name for it is "partial 16S ribosomal RNA". It matches the Rfam family "Bacterial small subunit ribosomal RNA", at positions 524 to 776 of the family's 1533-position model. The record is from RNAcentral.
GACAGAGGUGCCAAGCGUUAGGCGGAAUCACUGGGCUUAAAGCGUGUGUAGGCGGAAUGGUAAGUACCUUGUGAAAUCCCACGGCUCAACCGUGGAACUGCUGGGUAUACUGCUUUUCUUGAGCCACUUAGGGGCUACCGGAACAAAUGGUGGAGCGGUGAAAUGCGUAGAUAUCAUUUGGAACGCCAAUGGUGAAAACAGGUAGCUGGGGGUGUGCUGACACUGAGACACGAAAGCCAGGGGAGCAAACGGG